Molecule: ribosomal RNA, 351 nt
Filed under: uncultured Fusibacter sp.
Lineage: Bacteria; Bacillati; Bacillota; Clostridia; Eubacteriales; Fusibacteraceae
Description: bacterial SSU rRNA
Rfam family: Bacterial small subunit ribosomal RNA
Source: RNAcentral
AGGACAGGUGGUGCAUGGUUGUCGUCAGCUCGUGUCGUGAGAUGUUGGGUUAAGUCCCGCAACGAGCGCAACCCUUGUGUUUAGUUGCCAACAGGUUAAGCUGUGCACUCUAAGCAGACUGCCGUGGAUAACACGGAGGAAGGUGGGAUGACGUCAAAUCAUCAUGCCCCUUAUGAUCUGGGCUACACACGUGCUACAAUGGUCGGUACAACGGGCAGCGAAAGAGUAAUCUGGAGCGAAUCCUAAAAAGCCGAUCCCAGUUCGGAUUGUGGGCUGAAACUCGCCCACAUGAAGUUGGAGUUGCUAGUAAUCGCGAAUCAGAAUGUCGCGGUGAAUGCGUUCCCGGGUCUU